RNAcentral lists this ribosomal RNA (407 nucleotides) under uncultured bacterium. RNAcentral's name for it is "partial 16S ribosomal RNA". It matches the Rfam family "Bacterial small subunit ribosomal RNA", at positions 30 to 526 of the family's 1533-position model. The record is from RNAcentral.
AUUGAACGCUGGCGGCAGGCCUAACACAUGCAAGUCGAGCGGAGCGGCGGACGGGGGAGUAAUGCCUAGGAAUCUGCCUGGUAGUGGGGGAUAACGUCCGGCAACGGGCGCUAAUACCGCAUACUAUCAGAUGAGCCUAGGUCGGAGUAGCAAGUUGGUGUGGUAAAGGCAUACAAAGGCGACGAUCAGUAACUGGUCUGAGAGGAUGAUCAGUCACACUGGAACGGAGACACGGUCCAGACUCCUACGGGAGGCAGCAGUGGGUAAUAUUGGACAAUGGGCGCAAGCCUGAUCCAGCCAUGCCGCGUGUGUGAAGAAGGUCUUCGGAUUGUAAAGCACUUUCAGUUGGGAGGCGUUACCAACAGAAUAAGCACCGGCUAACUUCGUGCCAGCAGCCGCGGUAAUUC